Molecule: long non-coding RNA, 688 nt
Organism: Oncorhynchus keta (chum salmon)
Lineage: Eukaryota; Metazoa; Chordata; Actinopteri; Salmoniformes; Salmonidae
Exons: 4
Source: RefSeq, a predicted model, not a curated record
UACCCUCCACAUCCAGCUGUAGGUACAGUAACCCUUCACUACCCUCCUCAUCCAGCUGUAGGUUCAGUAACCCUUCACUACCCUCCUCAUCCAGCUGUAGGUACAGUAACCCUUCACUACCCUCCUCAUCCAGCUGUAGGUACAGUAACCCUUCACUACCCUCCACAUCCAGCUGUAGGUACAGUAACCCUUCACUACCCUCCUCAUCCAGCUGUAGGUACAGUAACCCUUCACUACCCUCCACAUCCAGCUGUAGGUACAGUAACCCUUCACUACCCUCCUCAUCCAGCUGUAGGUACAGUAACCCUUCACUACCCUCCUCAUCCAGCUGUAGGUACAGUAACCCUUCACUACCCUCCACAUCCAGCUGUAGGUACAGUAACCCUUCACUACCCUCCUCAUCCAGCUGUAGGUACAGUAACCCUUCACUACCCUCCUCAUCCAGCUGUAGGUACAGUAACCCUUCACUACCCUCCUCAUCCAGCUGUAGGUACAGUAACCCUUCACUACCCUCCACAUCCAGCUGCAGAGUGGCAGGUACAGUAACCCUUCACUACCCUCCUCAUCCAGCUGUAGGUACAGUAACCCUUCACUACCCUCCUCAUCCAGCUGUAGGUACAGUAACCCUUCACUACCCUCCUCAUCCAGCUGUAGGUACAGUAACCCUUCACUACCCUCCACAUCCAGC